Molecule: ribosomal RNA, 253 nt
Filed under: uncultured bacterium
Lineage: Bacteria
Description: partial 16S ribosomal RNA
Rfam family: Bacterial small subunit ribosomal RNA
Source: RNAcentral
UACGGAGGGUGCGAGCGUUGUCCGGAAUCACUGGGCGUAAAGGGCGCGUAGGCGGCCUGAUAAGUAGGGGGUGAAAUCCUGCGGCUUAACCGCAGGGCUGCCUUCUAAACUGUCAGGCUUGAGCACAGUAGAGGCAGGUGGAAUUCCCGGUGUAGCGGUGGAAUGCGUAGAGAUCGGGAAGAACAUCAGUGGCGAAGGCGGCCUGCUGGGCUGAUACUGACGCUGAGGCGCGAAAGCCAGGGGAGCGAACGGG